Gossypium hirsutum (cotton) is the source of this 145-nucleotide non-coding RNA. NCBI's taxonomy places the organism in Eukaryota, Viridiplantae, Streptophyta, Magnoliopsida, Malvales, Malvaceae. The record is from Rfam.
UGUUAAAAAUUUCAUCCAUUUUUGCUGUUAAAAUUUGACUUGACUGAUAGAAUAACCAGUCAAUUACACGUGACGUGCCACGUAUACCUCAUUUAGACAUACAUGGAUUAGUUUUUAACACUAGAAAUGGAUGGAAUUUUUAACA